Long non-coding RNA from Sinocyclocheilus rhinocerous, 260 nucleotides. RefSeq lists it as uncharacterized. The record is from RefSeq and is a predicted model, not a curated record. Lineage: Eukaryota; Metazoa; Chordata; Actinopteri; Cypriniformes; Cyprinidae. The transcript has 3 exons.
GCAACGAGGAUCAUCUCUUCGCUGACACUGGACAGAAGAAGCCGAAGAAGGAAAGAAGCUCUCUCGUGGCGCUGCAACCGAAUAUCAGCUAACGUACAACAAACUUGAAAUGGCAAUCGAUACCAACACCUCUUGGAAAACAACACUUAUAAUCAGCACCUCACCUCAGUGUGAUGAAGCCUCGCAGAUUCUUGUAGCGCAGCAGCACAGGAUUCGCCGCUCGGACAACAUCCUGUCCUCUUCCUUUGUUUCCCCCUUGU